AGCAGCCGCGGUAAUUCCAGCUCCAAUAGCGUAUAUUAAAGUUGCUGCAGUUAAAAAGCUCGUAGUUGAAUUUCGGGACCAUCAUGUCGGUCGUGCCUCGGUACGUACUGGCAUUGUUGGUUUCUACCUUCUGACGAACCAUGAUGUCAUUUAUUUGGUGUCGUGGGAAAUCAGGACUGUUACUUUGAAAAAAUUAGAGUGUUUAAAGCAGGCUCACGCUUGAAUACAUUAGCAUGGAAUAAUGAAAUAGGACGUUUGAUUCUAUUUUGUUGGUUUCUAGGAUCGACGUAAUGAUUAAUAGGGAUAGUUGGGGGCAUUAGUAUUCAAUUGUCAGAGGUGAAAUUCUUGGAUUUAUUGAAGACUAACUACUGCGAAAGCAUUUGCCAAGGAUGUUUUCAUUAAUCAAGAACGAAAGUUAGGGGACCGAAGACGAUCAGAUACCGUCGUAGUCUUAACCAUAAACUAUGCCGACUAGGGAUCGGAUGAUGUUAAUUUUUUAAUGACUCAUUCGGCGCCUUAC
This 520-nucleotide unclassified non-coding RNA is filed under the name uncultured Acaulospora. RNAcentral describes it as "SSU rRNA". It matches the Rfam family "Eukaryotic small subunit ribosomal RNA", at positions 569 to 1091 of the family's 1831-position model. Lineage: Eukaryota; Fungi; Glomeromycota; Glomeromycetes; Diversisporales; Acaulosporaceae. The record is from RNAcentral.